GGGGGGGGGGGGGGGGGGGCCUAGGGGAGGGGAGUCGGACGGCAGCACAGGAAGAGCUUGCGCUUGCGGGUGGCGAGUGGCGGACGGGUGGGGAAGACGUCGGAAGCUCCUUUUGCGUGGGGGGUAACGGGGGGGAACUUACGCUAAUCCAGCAGACUACCUCCGGGUGACAUCAUUGCAUCUUCGGAACUAUCUCAAAUUAAGGUGCCGCUGUCGGAUUAACUAGUUGGCGGGGUAAAGGCCCACCAAGUCGAAUAUCCGUAGCUGGUCUGAGAGGAUGAUCAGCCACACUGGAACUGAGACACGGUCCAGACUCCUACGGGAGGCAGCAGUGGGGAAUAUUGGACAAUGGGCGCAAGCCUGAUCCAGCCAUACCGCGUGGGUGAAGAAGGCCUUCGGGUUGUAAAGCCCUUUUGUUGGGAAAGAAAAGCAGCAGGUUAAUACCCCGCUGUUCUGACGGUACCCAAAGAAUAAGCACCGGCUAACUUCGUG
This 492-nucleotide ribosomal RNA is filed under the name uncultured bacterium. RNAcentral describes it as "partial 16S ribosomal RNA". It matches the Rfam family "Bacterial small subunit ribosomal RNA", at positions 38 to 507 of the family's 1533-position model. The record is from RNAcentral.